UGGGGAAUAUUGGACAAUGGGCGAAAGCCUGAUCCAGCCAUGCCGCGUGUGUGAAGAAGGUCUUCGGAUUGUAAAGCACUUUAAGUUGGGAGGAGGGGCAGUAAGCGAAUACCUUGCUGUUUUGACGGUACCGACAGAAUAAGCACCGGCUAACUCUGUGCCAGCAGCCGCGGUAAUACAGAGGGUGCAAGCGUUAAUCGGAAUUACUGGGCGUAAAGCGCGCGUAGGUGGUUCGUUAAGUUGAAUGUGAAAGCCCCGGGCUCAACCUGGGAACUGCAUCCAAAACUGGCGAGCUAGAGUAGGGCAGAGGGUGGUGGAAUUUCCUGUGUAGCGGUGAAAUGCGUAGAUAUAGGAAGGAACACCAGUGGCGAAGGCGACCACCUGGGCUCAUACUGACACUGAGGUGCGAAAGCGUGGGGAGCAAACAGG
This 429-nucleotide ribosomal RNA is filed under the name Pseudomonadota bacterium. RNAcentral's name for it is "Proteobacteria bacterium partial 16S ribosomal RNA". It matches the Rfam family "Bacterial small subunit ribosomal RNA", at positions 355 to 776 of the family's 1533-position model. Lineage: Bacteria; Pseudomonadati; Pseudomonadota. The record is from RNAcentral.